AGAGUUUGAUCCUGGCUCAGGACGAACGCUGGCGGCGUGCUUAACACAUGCAAGUCGAGCGGAAAGGCCCUUCGGGGUACUCGAGCGGCGAACGGGUGAGUAACACGUGAGCAAUCUGCCCCUAGCUCUGGGAUAGCUCCGGGAAACCGGAAUUAAUACCGGAUAUGACCGUGGCCGACAUCAGCUACGGUGGAAAGUUU
This 200-nucleotide ribosomal RNA is filed under the name uncultured bacterium. RNAcentral describes it as "partial 16S ribosomal RNA". It matches the Rfam family "Bacterial small subunit ribosomal RNA", at positions 8 to 210 of the family's 1533-position model. The record is from RNAcentral.